GCCUACGACCAUAUCACCCUGAAUGCGCCCGAUCUCGUCUGAUCUCGGAAGCUAAGCAUGGUCGAGCCUGGUUAGUACUUGCAUGGGAGACUGCCUGGGAAUACCAGGUGUUGUAGGCU
Petromyzon marinus (sea lamprey) is the source of this 119-nucleotide ribosomal RNA. The record is from Ensembl. NCBI's taxonomy places the organism in Eukaryota, Metazoa, Chordata, Hyperoartia, Petromyzontiformes, Petromyzontidae.